Molecule: long non-coding RNA, 1558 nt
Organism: Solanum lycopersicum (tomato)
Lineage: Eukaryota; Viridiplantae; Streptophyta; Magnoliopsida; Solanales; Solanaceae
Source: RefSeq, a predicted model, not a curated record
CUUUCACCCUUUUGCAAAACCAUGUUUUGGGCCCUCUUUUAAAUUUCCAGCCCACCUCACAAUUCCUGGAAAUUUUUCAAGCCCAGCACUUCAACCCGAAACUCCAAACAAUUUACCCGGCCCACGCUCCUUUAAUCUGACCCGUCAUGUUCCUUCUUCAUCUUCUCCAUGCGUGAAUGAGAAGCGAUCAACUCAGGAACCAGCGUGUACAACCCCAACCUGAUCCCAUUCGUCUUCUUCCACGCCCGGAAGAACGAAGCUCAGAAAAACGUCAAGCGCGUGAGUGGCAGAGAGCGAGUGCGACGAGAAAGCGAUGAGGAACAGACUGGACUUUGUCUUCUUCCUCAAUGUUCUUCUUAGUUUGUACGAUGGCAGAACAUGAGAAAUCAUCCUCAUACCAUGAUAUGAAGCCACGUCGUUUCGUCAAAGACAGCGGAAUCAAUCCGGAGCGUCGACUUUCCCUUUCUCCUUUUGGAAUGGGUCAGGAGCCUCCGAAAAAGUUUGUUCAGCCGUUUUUGUUAAAGAUUUUGGAGAGUUUUUUUUGAAUUUUCGGAAUGAAAAUUGGACUCCCCCCCCCCCACCCCCCCAUUUUUCCCACCCCUAAUCUGCCCCUAUAUAAUAUCUUUUUGGUCAUUUGAAAGGGAGAUUUUUUUUGAGUUUUGGAAAAAAAAUUAGGAUAUAUUUUUUGGGUGAUUCCUCUUCCAGUUAGAGAUUCGUGGAAAGUAGGGAGAGAUUCGAUUUGAAAAUUUGCCGAAGUUAAGAAGGGAUAAAUAUCAUAGUAGAAAAGAAAGGAAGAGAAGAGUUAGUUCCGAUAUUAAAUUGAUUUGGGUUUGAGUUUGCUUCCUAGUUUUCUUGCUUACUACAUGUCCUGUGCUCGCGUGGUGGAACAGUUCGCACCAACUCGUCUAAAUCUCAGUUCGCUGCCCAUAAGAAGUAUUCAAUUAUUAAAUCAUGGGGACCUACAGGUGAGCCAUUAACAUUAAUUAUGCAUUUAAAACUGCUUUGAGUUGGAUAGCUUUACAUUUUGAUAAUUAGUUAAAUCGAUUUAUUUGCUCAUUAUUUUGUAUUAAUUCCUUUUUUUCAUGUUAAAUCUGUCCGAGUUGAACAAGAACUCUCAUCUCUCCCUUUGCAUUUCGGAUGGGCCAUCAAGAUUUAAAUUUCCUUAUCGAGUCAACCCCCUUUAAUACCGAAGAACAGGUUUCAAAGUUGAAGAAGCUGAAGCGAGUUGAAGAGUUAAAGAAGUUGGGAUUAGAAGGCCCGAACUAUUUUUUUCCGAUUUUGAAUUUUUGUUUGUAAUAGGCCUAAGCCCUUGUCGUUUCUUUUUUUCUGUAUUUAUUCGUAUUUAUUAUUGUUUAGUCUAGGACAGGUUGAAAGAAAAGUGGGUCAAAAACCUGGAAGUGAAAUGGGUCAAAACCUAGAACAGGUGGGUCCAAAAUCCGGUCAAGGCGGACAGAUAACACGGAUUUGGACCCAAAUUUCUUUCCCUCCCUCUCUCUCCCUCUUUCCCUCUUUUACUUUACUUGCUUAUAUGUUUCCAUUUGUCAUUAUUUUAAAGUUA